This 703-nucleotide ribosomal RNA is filed under the name marine metagenome. RNAcentral describes it as "bacterial SSU rRNA". It matches the Rfam family "Archaeal small subunit ribosomal RNA", at positions 444 to 1140 of the family's 1478-position model. The record is from RNAcentral.
GGCAAAAUUCUGGUGUCAGCCGCCGCGGUAAAACCAGCAACCUCAAGUGGUCAGGAUGAUUAUUGGGCCUAAAGCAUCCGUAGCCGGCUUUGUUAGUUUUUCGGUUAAAUCCAUGUGCUCAACGCAUGGGCUGCCGAAAAAUACUGCAUGGCUAGGGAGUGGGAGAGGUAGACGGUACUCAGUAGGAAGGGGUAAAAUCCUUUGAUCUAUUGAUGACCACCUGUGGCGAAGGCGGUCUACCAGAACACGUUCGACGGUGAGGGAUGAAAGCUGGGGGAGCAAACCGGAUUAGAUACCCGGGUAGUCCCAGCUGUAAACGAUGCAGACUCGAUGAUGCAUUGGCAUAAUAGCCAGUGCAGUGUCGCAGGGAAGCCGUUAAGUCUGCCGCCUGGGAAGUACGUACGCAAGUAUGAAACUUAAAGGAAUUGGCGGGGGAGCACCACAAGGGGUGAAGCCUGCGGUUCAAUUGGAGUCAACGCCAGAAAUCUUACCCGGAGAGACAGCAGAAUGAAGGUCAAGCUGAAGACUUUACCAGACAAGCUGAGAGGUGGUGCAUGGCCGUCGCCAGCUCGUGCCGUGAGAUGUCCUGUUAAGUCAGGUAACGAGCGAGAUCCCUGCCACUAGUUGCUAUCAUUAUUCUCAGGAAUAGUGGGGCGAAUUAGUGGGACUGCCGUUGUUAAAACGGAGGAAGGAAGGGGCUACG